UUUCCGUAGGUGAACCUGCGGAAGGAUCAUUAUCGAGUUUGGACUGGGUUGUAGCUGGCCUUCCGAGGCAUGUGCACGCCCUUCUCAUCCACUCUACACCCGUGCACCUACUGUGGGUAUCAGAUCGUGAAGCGUGAUCUUUUACCGGAGCUUGUGAAGCGUGUCUGUGCCUGCGUUUAUCACAAACACUAUAAAGUAUCAGAAUGUGUAUUAAGAUGUAACGAAUAUAUAUACAACUUUCAGCAACGGAUCUCUUGGCUCUC
RNAcentral lists this unclassified non-coding RNA (263 nucleotides) under plant metagenome. Its description in RNAcentral is "partial contains small subunit ribosomal RNA, internal transcribed spacer 1, and 5.8S ribosomal RNA". The record is from RNAcentral.